GACGAACGCUGGCGGCGUGCCUAAUACAUGCAAGUAGAACGCACAGUUUAUACCGUAGCUUGCUACACCAUAGACUGUGAGUUGCGAACGGGUGAGUAACGCGUAGGUAACCUGCCUGGUAGCGGGGGAUAACUAUUGGAAACGAUAGCUAAUACCGCAUAAUAUUGAUUAUUGCAUGAUAAUUAAUUGAAAGGUGCAAUUGCACCACGACCAGAUGGACCUUCGGUGGAUUAGCUAGUAGGUGAGGUAACGGCUCACCUAGGCGACGAUACAUAGCCGAACGGAGAGGGUGAGCGGCCAGACUGGGACGGAGACACGGCCCAGAGUCCUAGGGGAGGCGGCAGUAGGGAAUCUUGGGCAAGGGACGAAAGUCUGACCGCGAAACGCCGAGUGAGGGAGGAGGGUUUUCGGGUCGUAAAGCUCUGUUGUAAGAGAAGAACGGGUGUGAGAGUGGAAAGUUCACACUGUGACGGUAUCUUACAAGAAAGGGACGGCUAACUACGUG
This 505-nucleotide ribosomal RNA is filed under the name uncultured bacterium. Its description in RNAcentral is "partial 16S ribosomal RNA". It matches the Rfam family "Bacterial small subunit ribosomal RNA", at positions 28 to 507 of the family's 1533-position model. The record is from RNAcentral.